RNAcentral lists this ribosomal RNA (262 nucleotides) under uncultured bacterium. RNAcentral's name for it is "partial 16S ribosomal RNA". It matches the Rfam family "Bacterial small subunit ribosomal RNA", at positions 337 to 616 of the family's 1533-position model. The record is from RNAcentral.
CCCUACGGGAUGCAGCAGUGGGGAAUAUUGCACAAUGGGGGAAACCCUGAUGCAGCAACGCCGCGUGAGUGAAGAAGUAUUUCGGUAUGUAAAGCUCUAUCCGCAGGGAAGAAGAUGACGGUACCUGAUUAAGAAGCCCCGGCUAACUACGUGCCAGCAGCCGCGGUAAUACGUAGGGGGCAAGCGUUAUCCGGAUUUACUGGGUGUAAAGGGAGCGUAGACGGCAUAGCAAGUCUGCAGUGAAAGCCCAAGGCUCAACAAU